UACGUAGGUGGCGAGCGUUAUCCGGAAUGAUUGGGCGUAAAGGGUGCGUAGGCGGCCUGCUAAGUCUGGAGUGAAAGGUACCGGCUCAACCGGUACAGGCUCUGGAAACUGGCGGGCUAGAGAGCAGGAGAGGGCGGUGGAACUCCAUGUGUAGCGGUGAAAUGCGUAGAGAUUAGGAAGAACACCAGUGGCGAAGGCGACUUACUGGACUGUAACUGACGCUGAGGCAUGAGAGCAUGGGGAGCAAACAGG
RNAcentral lists this ribosomal RNA (252 nucleotides) under uncultured Allobaculum sp. RNAcentral describes it as "partial 16S ribosomal RNA". It matches the Rfam family "Bacterial small subunit ribosomal RNA", at positions 524 to 776 of the family's 1533-position model. The record is from RNAcentral. Lineage: Bacteria; Bacillati; Bacillota; Erysipelotrichia; Erysipelotrichales; Erysipelotrichaceae.